CGUGCGGAAAAGGCGCCUAAACAGCAGAGAGGAUCGGCUGGAGAAUUGACGGUUGAAAACUGCACAAAGUAAAGUCAAGAUCCUCCUGCUGUAAAAACCAGCAUUGACCAGCAUGAAUUCCCUUUCAGUCACUGUCUACCAACCUGCAGUCGGUUCAGCACGGUACUGUAGACAAUUGUUUUUACUUAUGCUUUAUUAUGGCAUAACAGUAAAAUAAAAUUAUGACUAUAAUUCAAUUGGACAUUCAUCUAUGUAUUCAUUGUACAUUAUACUGCACUAACUAGUUUUAUUACUUGUCAGAAACAUCAGGCUCACAGCAACAGAUUAAGAAGAAUCCUGCAUCAAAAGAUGACUUCAACUUGCAUGUGAGACAGAGUGAGAAGAGGAAAAGAGGAAUGAAGAUGGACUGUCUAAGAAACCUGUUUUGUUCAUAACGGAACUUGCAUCUAUCUCCCACGAAUGUAGAAUGCUGAAGGCGAGCAGAAAUGAGAAAAGUUAUGCUACAGCUCUCUGUUUGCAGCACGUCAGUCACGCUCGUCGGGAAAGUGAGUGAAACACACACACAAACACACAUUUUUAUCAAAUAAUACGGCAUUAAUAGCGGUUCACUUCCACAACUUGGUGCGUUUGCAUUUAUAUCAGAAGCGAACUGUACCUGAGUUCACUUGAACCGCACCCCAGACCACCCUUUUUAAGUGGACUCGGGUACGGUUCGUGGGUGUCCGCAGUUACACACAGCACACAGUUACUCCUCGUGUUUGCUGGAUAAUGAUAUAAUGAUAUUAUAUUUAAUCCUCCAAAAUCACUGUGCAAUAAUGAGUGUGUUAAGUGAAUAAAUGUAAACUCUAUGAAUGAAAUGAGCGCAAAUCAAAUAGCUGUAUUGCUGUUGCCUCUCCAUGUGCCACAAAUCAGCUUGGAAAGAAUAAAUCAACUGAAAUACUUAGUGCUUUUUCCAGUUUAACACAUUAAAAUAUUUAACACAGUUAAUGCAGCAUACGUUUUUUUUGUUUUGUUUGUUUCAUCCUUUGGCUAGCAUUACAAUAUAUGAUUACGCUCUUAUUUCUGCGAAUGCUUUUAAACCAUUUAAGCGCACCAAAAGAAAAAAGAGAACGCACUGUCUGUGAAUGUCCUGUCACACACACGACGCACAGAAAGACAUGCACCAGUAUAGUGAGCAUGGACGGCCCACCAGUAUCGAGUUCUCUGUCAUGCUUGAAGAAACAAUAACACACACGAUAAUGUCAAAAAUGUCAGUUUUGUUAACUAUCACCAAUGGAGCAGCCUUAAAUGAGUUAAAGUCCCCGUGAACCGGAAGUGCAAACGUCUUUUCUCCAGUGUUGUGACAUAUUUCCAAGCGAAACAGAAUAUUGAAUAGAGGGCAGAGUUUUAAUUUAACGCUCCUCCUCUCCGUCUCUUGCUCAUAGCAGACUAAGGGUUGGGGGGGGGAGUGGUUUUAUUUUAUCAGAGAAGGAACACCAUUUCAGACCAGAAGUAACAUUUCAGAUUUUGAUUAAAGAUUACCACGACAAACAAUUUUUUUCGGUGUAUUAACUUGCACGGAUUAAUUGUUCACCACAAGACUAGUAAUAUGCACUAACAAAGUAAGUAAGGUCAAUUUUGAUUUUAUGACGUCUUGAAAUGAAGUCUUAAUUGAAAAGUAAAUGAGUUGUGAGAAAGUGGACAUCAGUAGCUGUAUUAAGACCCGGGUAUACUUCACUUUCCGCGGCCAGACGCAUCUCACGUGCAGUCUUGUCUGCGCAUCUUUCAAAGUAUACUCAACUACAGAUGUGCGUGGAUGACCGAGUUCAACACAUGCAGUACAAUUUAAUUCACGAAUCGUGCCAUCAACGGGACUUCGCUGGGUAGGAUCAGAGAAUAAAAAUAGUGCAUCCACCAUCCACCACACAGUCUUGAAAUUUGGCCUGCACACGGACGAGGUAUGCAGACGUCCGUGAGCCCUCCAGAUGACGAACAUUACGUCAUGCAGACGGUGCACGAACGUGGCUUUAGUUUCAGUGAGACUGUCCUUAUUUCAUAAAAACAUGCCAUUAAAAAGUAUUUAAAAUAUACUCUUUAUGUUGUUUCUUUAUGUUGUUUUUAUUUUAGAGAUUAACUGUGACAUUAUUACAUAAUAAUAUGUAUUAUUAAAAACUUGACUAUAACAUUACAUUUAGAUCUAUUGCAUUAUAUUUAGAUAGUGGCAUGAAAGGUUGCAACUUUGAAUGAGCAUUGUAGCUGAUCACAGUCAUGUUGAGUGUAUGUAAGCAGUGAUCUCAUCAUUGAAACUCGAAUUCUGCUCACUAACAAAUACGUUCAUCGUAACUAACAGUGCAAACACAAUGUAAAUAAGAGGUUUGUUGAUUAUAAUGGGAGUUUUGGUGUGAGUCUUUUCCUUAUCCCGAGGUUACCAUACUCAGCUGGAUCCCCUCCAAAUCCAGAUCAGAUGGUGGACCUGCAUCUUGGCAUGACCACGACGCAAGCCUAAAUGUCAACGAAGACCAUGUCAACUAGACAAGCCAGACAGAUCCCCUGUGAGAACUUCGUUGACAGCCAUCGGCAAAGAUCCUCAGCAAAGACCACAAGAACCAGACAAGUCCUCUGCACAGACCCCUACGGCUAGCUUCAACUCUAUGCCGGCGUGUUGUAUCUUGAUCUUCAAACUGAUGGAACCAUAUGAAAUAUUCUAGAUUAUACCAAUCCACAAUCUGACUUGUGUUGCUGCCUGAAUCACAUCACACCAUAUUCGUUCAUUGGCCAGAGGAGAACUGGUCCCUGACUGAGCCUGGUUUCUCCCAAGGUUUUUUUUUCUUCUCCAUUUUUGUAACCUGAUGGAUUUUGGGUUCCUUACCCCUGUUGCCUUUGGCUUGCUAAGUUUGGGACACUUAAUAUUCAGCAAUAAUAUUGAUUUGAUUGCACUGACACUAUCAUAUGAGAACUGAACUGAGCUGGACGAUGACUGUUUUUUGCAGAGCUGCUUUAUAACAAAUUGAACUGAUUUCAUAAUUGAUUAACUUUAUACAGCUAUUGAACAGAACUGAAUUAAAACAUACUGACUUCAGCUGAACAAUGACACUAUUUCUUUUAGAGCUGCUUUACAGCAGAAUUGAACUGGAAUAAUUGAAUCAUUCUCCUGUUUAUACCUGUAAAGCUGCUUUGAAACAGUCUAUAAAGUGUUAAAUUAAAGGUGACUUGACUUUUGAAAUA
Megalobrama amblycephala (Wuchang bream) is the source of this 3204-nucleotide long non-coding RNA. RefSeq lists it as uncharacterized. The transcript is spliced from 3 exons. NCBI's taxonomy places the organism in Eukaryota, Metazoa, Chordata, Actinopteri, Cypriniformes, Xenocyprididae. The record is from RefSeq and is a predicted model, not a curated record.